UACGUAGGUGGCAAGCGUUGUCCGGAAUUAUUGGGCGUAAAGCGCGCGCAGGCGGCCUUUUAAGUCUGAUGUGAAAUCUUGCGGCUCAACCGCAAGCGGUCAUUGGAAACUGGGAGGCUUGAGUACAGAAGAGGAGAGUGGAAUUCCACGUGUAGCGGUGAAAUGCGUAGAUAUGUGGAGGAACACCAGUGGCGAAGGCGACUCUCUGGUCUGUUCUUGACGCUGAGGCGCGAAAGCUAGGGGAGCAAACGGG
RNAcentral lists this ribosomal RNA (253 nucleotides) under uncultured bacterium. Its description in RNAcentral is "partial 16S ribosomal RNA". It matches the Rfam family "Bacterial small subunit ribosomal RNA", at positions 524 to 776 of the family's 1533-position model. The record is from RNAcentral.